GUCUUGUGACUUGCUCCCGGUGGAACUCGCACAGGGCGUCCGACUUUCAGGUGCAUGGAUCUGGCCUUAUCUUUUGUGGCCACCUUACUUUUGGUCCGAACUUCUCCAAUGCGUACACUAUUUCUGAAGGUGAUACAUAAAAAAUAUGAGCGGAUAACAAAUGGGGCAUAUCUCUCUCGUUCCGGUGAGUCCCUGUCCUUGAUCUAGGUGGACCCUCUUCGCAGCGUGAGGGGGCAUGAUGGCACUUCUAAUAUACGGCUGAUAUCGUUCUCGGUUAGAUUGUGGAGCUGCGAGAUCUUUCCUGACAUUGUUUCUUUGAUCCCCCCUGGACUCGGCCUGUACCGAGGUCAACCAAUGAGUUGGCCUAUUUAGGUCGUCCUCGUCUGCACGGACAACGAUACAGUAGGCGUUAUGUAUUUCAUCUAAAGGUGUCUAACGGGCCGGGUUGACCCGUAACCGGACCAGCCCAGAUCGGUUAAAACCGGAACCGGACCAGCCCGGUACAUAGGGGUUGGGUAGGAGGGGUAGAGGGGGUUGGUCUGUUUAAAUUUUGGUAACGGUUAACCAGACGGGUCAAAUCCGGUCCACGUGAACAGUACCAUGUACCGGUUAAAUUUUGAAUUAAGUGGGGCCCACUAACCGUUGGCAACGGUCAGACCUGGCAGGGAUCCGUUGCCCGACGGGUUAAUUGCAUUAAUAGCCUAUUUUUUCUUUAAAAUUUAACCUUUUUCAAUUUACAAAAUUAACCUUCUCUAAAACUAUAAAUACACUCCCCUCUUCUUCAUUUCUUCACUCAACUCUCAUUUCUCAAUCUCAAUUUCUCUCGUUCUCUCAUUCUCCAAUUUUCAAUAUUUCAAGUCUCAAUCUCAAAUUCUCAAUUCUCAAAUCUCAAUUCAAUUUAAAUCAUGCCUCGUACUUCUAGAGUGCGCUCAUAUGUUUGGCAACACUUUGAGGUAGUAGAAGAAAAUGAAGAAGGUCAGAAANNNNNNNNNNNNNNNNNNNNNNNNNAAAAAAAAUACACUAAACCUGGCCCGGCCCCGUUAACCCGUAACCCUUACGGUUCAAUUUUUACCCGGAUGAACCCGUUAAACCCGUUAAGCCCCAACCCAUAACCGGCCCGGACCGUAACCCGUACGGGUCCAAAAAAUAGUAACCUGGCCCGGCCCACCCGUUUAACACCUAUAAUUUCACCCCAAGUGGUUGGAGGAUAUUUCAUAAGCCGACAUAAUAACUUUCUGGUCGCCCUUGAACCAUUCCUGCUCAGCCCGUUUUGGAAAUAUGCUACGACCAUUCCUUCCAAUACAUUUGGUAAAGUCAUUCUUACUCGAAUGAAUCGAGCGAGGGAAAUGGCCGUGCUGCUCGCCCGCUGUUGGUGUAAUGUAAGCCCUUACAUUUUCUCUUACGGUCUCCUGGGCGGGCUUGUUGAGUAUGCCAGUUAGCGUGUUAGUUAGACUUUUUUACUGCUGGUGGCGUCUCUUCCGUUGUAUAUGUGGAAGCUCUUUUACCGCGAGAUGUUGUGAUACUGCCGUGAGGGAGGGGUGACCCACUUCGCGUGGGGGGAGGCAUUAGGCGUUAUGUCGUCACCUUCUGUCUCAGAAACCUCAUUGAUGGUGUUCAAGAGAUUGGUGGUGAGGUCAACCACUACCCUCAUUCUUUCUUCUCUGUUACCUGCCAUGUCAGAUCCGUGUGUACAAGGAAAAAGGUAGUUUUUUUUUUUUGUAAACCGUGAUAGUUAUAAAUCUAGAAAAAACUAAAGAUUUAACUAGGAAAUCCCUACAGACGGCGCCAGAUUGUUUGACCAAAAAGUGUAAAUCUUCGGUUAAACUAAUUAAUCUUAUGUAAUGAGGGGUUAAACCUGGUUAAUGAUAAUAUCUCUAGAUUUAUAACCGGUUAACACAAAUAACGCAAAACAACGUUAGUGGGGGAUUAAAUGCAGUGUGCAUUUAAUAUUCCAAGAGAUUUGAGUGAUGAUUGAAGAAUAUCAAACAAUAAAUAACAAUAAAUGACAUUAAUGUAAACAAGGAGAAUGAUUCACCAAACAUUGAAUGAGGUGGAUGAUUCUUCUUUCUGAUAGUGAUGAGUGACAGACAAAUCCUAAAAUAUUGGAACUAUUCUCGGUUCUAAUGGAAUAAUUGAUGGUAGAAUCUUAGUAAAAAGGUAGUGUUUGUAUCUUUUGUAGAGAGAGAGUCUUCUUCUCAAAAAGUGUUCUUAUCAAACUUAAUAUUACAUACCAUUUUCCCCUAUCUCUUUUUCUAUUUAUAUUGGACAUAUCCCUAGUUAACCCUAAAAGUACAAAUACAGGGAAUAUUCAAUGAAUAUUCUCUUAAAUAUCCUAUUACAAAAACUAGCCGUUAGUACUGUCAGGGAAUAUUCAAUGAAAUAUUCUCUUAAAUAUCCUAUUACAAAAACUAGCCGUUAGUACUGUUUUUGAUACUUAACCUCGACCGUUAUUGACCGCCCAACUACGAGCCCCACUGCUUACUAGUCGAUCUUGGCCACAUCACUUUCUAUAAUACCACUCGGUGCUAAAUCCCCUUGAGGUAGAUUUUGACCUAUACACAUAUUCCAUUAAGAAGUUAAACUAAAUUAAAAAUUACAAUAUGCAUGUUCAUUAAUCUUUUAAAUAAUAACAUUUAUUUAUUCAUAAAAAUAAGUAAUUAAUUAUUUUUUUGAGUCAUCAUGCUAAUUGAUAAAUAGACUCAACUUAUAUGCAUAUUCUUUUUUUAUAAUUUGAUUCUUAAUACAUUUUAAAAAAUAUUGGUCAAAAAAUAAACUCUUCAAAUAAAUUAGCUAAGCAAAACUACAAUUUCCAAAAUGCUUCAAGCUAAUUUUAACACCUUGACCAAACACAUAAGAUAAUAUCAGUAGGAGCAAAAUGACAAUUUGAAAUUAAAGAGUCUUCAAGUUAGAUAUUAGAUAUGGAUCCAAAAUCAACUUAAUGAGUCUAUCGUGGAAAUGACAUCAUGUAGUUAUUUUUAAUCAUGUUGUUUAAAAUAUAUUUACAAUGUUUUUAAGAUUAAUAAAUUCGCUCAAACUUGAGGACAAGACGUCCUAGAAUUUAAACCUCAAAAUUAAACUUUAGGACAUCGUGCCCUAAAGUUCGAAAUUUAUGUCCAAAACUUCGAAUCUUAUGUCCUGAAUUUCAAAUUAGUAGCUCAAAAAUUCAAGACGCUAAGUCCCGAAUUUCCAAAUUUAGGAUACUUAGUUAUGAAAUUUGGGUGAAUUGGUUAAUUUUUAAAUACAUUAUACAUUAUACAUUAUGAAUAUAUUUUAAACAAUAUGCUUAAGAGUGGCUAUUGGUGCAAUUCGCCCUUCUAUUCCUAAGAUUUCUAUCAUUGAAUUAAUUUAAACUUUUACACUAAAUAUUACUCCAUUUACUAAUAAUCAUCAUAAUAUAAAAAUAUUAAAAUAAUAUUUGGGUCUUUAAAUUAAAUGGUCCAAACGCCAUAUAUGCUACCACCUUUUGUUUCAUUCUUAUCCCUUAAUGUGGAAAAAAAGUUCCCCACCACUUAGCUGCUCCAUUGGUAACCUUCAAUCGACAAUGGAAGCUCCUCAAUUUCAAGCCAGUCUCCAAUUCAGACGUUUCUUGGCGUCCCAAAGCCCAUGGUAACGAGCAUUCUCAUUUAUCUUCAACUUCGAUUGCUUUAAUUAGUGUUCUUCAGAACAAGGGCGGAGUUAGAAGCCGAAUACGGGUUCGGCUGAAUCCAUUAGCUUUUGCUCAAAUACUGUAUUUGUAAUAAUUUUUUUAUUAAAUAUGUAUAAAUAUUAAAUUUAGAACCAAGUUAUUAGCAUUUAAAGUCGUUAUUCUAAAAACACAUGAAGUUGAAAUCCCAGCUCCGCCUUGGCUUCGGAAUACUUUUUAGUUUAUGUAGUUGUUUGUUAACCAGAAAUCGUUAGUUUCAUGAUGUAGAUUCAUAUUUAUAUUAAAUUCGCAUCUAUUAUCGGGAAGGAGUAGUGGUUAAAAGUACUAUAUGCACCGAUUUAAAACCCUGAAUCCGCUUUUUUGAUGGUCAUAUGACAGAAAAGACUAUUGUUUUAGUUAUUAAAUAGUUUAAACGGUUAAUUAUUCAUUAAAUCUAUGAAAAUUCACAAGCAUAGGGAUCAAAAGUGCACAUUAUAGUUAAUUGAAUGUGCUUAACCAUAUAUCACAAGGACCAAUAUCCCUAAUAUUUCUGAACCACUUUUGCCACUGCACUAGAAGCUUUUUGUAAAAAAAAUCCAAGGGGAUUCAAAAAUCUAUAUAUACAAAAAAUUAUUAUAUCCUGUUGCACAGUGCAGGGGUGGCAAACGGCUGGAUCGGGUCGGAUACGGCGGGUCGAAAAACGGGUAAUGCAAAACGGAUAAAUCAUCCAAUCUGGCCCAUAUUUAAUACAAAUAAAAAAUUUUAUCCGGCGGAUAAUAUGGUAUCUAUAUUAUGCAUGACUUCUUGAAUAUGAUCACUUUUGGGAGAAUACCUAGUCUUUCAAACUCGAGGAACCCCCAAUUUGAGGCUUUAUAAAUGUAAUAGUUAAUCUCAUUAGUUAUCCAUUGAUUAUCCAUUUUUUAAGUGGAUAAUAUGAUUCUUAUCCAGAUUUGACCAUUUUUUAAAAAGUUUAUUAUCCAACCCGUUUUUAAAUGGAAAACAUGGGUGCAUAACUAUUUUCUUUUAACUAUUUUGCCACCACUAGUACAGUGUAAUUUUUGUAUAGAGGCGAUUCAAUACAUGCGGCUCCAGCACGGAAUAGUUGGAGCCUAGAUUUUACAAACCUGAUGCAAGAUGGUCCAGUUUAUGGAUGAAUGGAAUUUUUGUAGUUAGAGAAAAAAACAGAAGAAGACAAAGAAAGAAGAAAAAGAAGAAGAAUAUUAAAUGUGUCAUUUGCUUAAUCCUACUUGUAAUUUAUAACUUGUUUAUGCUAACAGUUUUAGAGACUCUGAUCAUUGUAAGAUUGCUGCACCUAAAGCCUCAGAUCAAAGAAUGCCAUCUCUAAAUGUCAAAAAGUUGCUAAGAAGGUCAGUUCUGCAACUUGUUGGAUUGAGUCCCAUCUUCAUUAGUAUUCGUCCUGUCUUAUCUGCUCCAGUUCAGGAGAUGAAAGAACCUGAUGUUAUCCGGUAAAUGUUGUUUCCAUUUCUUUAAUCUCCACAAUUAAAUUGUCUAUAUGGCCUAGAAUAAGUGCUGUCAUUAUUUUAAUGGUGUUGUUAAUUUGGAUUUGAAGCAUUCAGGACUCUAAAGCUUGCUAGUGGAGUGAGAAUACAAGGUACAUCCCCUUUUAAGGUUAUUAAAUAAAUACAGUCAAACCUCUCUAUAACAGCCUUAUUUGUUCCGGAUUUUCUUGGUUGUUAUAGCGUAAUGCUAUUAUAGAGAACAUAUAUUAUAACAUAUUAGUUCCAAAGAAACUUGGCUUUUAUGGUGAAUGAGUGUUAUAUAGCGAUGCUGUUAUAGAGAGGUCUGACUGAAUUUUAUAAGAUGUUUUCUAAUUGAGAUAUUUGAUUAGUUUUACUUGGAGCUAAUAACAACCCUGGCUGUAGGUUAAUUGCUAUUUGACUUAUUAAUGGAUAGUAUUAGCUCAAACACCAGCUUAGCUUGGCUUGUUUGGGACAAUAUCAUCAAAUCCUGAAUCCUAAUUCGGGGGAAUACUCAUAAGCUCUAAAUUCUACAAGUAAGCCAAACCAUUCAAUUUCAAGCCGAUUCUAGGAAAAUUGACUUCACAUAGAUACACAAAAACACACCAAACAUGCCCUCGACAGAUAGUCAUCAAACUUAGCAAACAAGGAGGAGAACAACUUUGUUGAAAUCUCAAACAACUGCAUGGACUUUUAGCGUCAAGAAAGAAAAAGAUAUUCAUUGCUGGUGGUAGGACCAAUGUUUUUCUUACUUGCAGGUUUAGCUGUUUAGGAAGAAUUGAGAGCAUUAGGAGGAAGAAUCUUAAGUGACAAAGUAGAAAAGAGUUGUGGGAAGAGAAGGGGUAACAAUGAUGAAUCCAGGGCUGGGAUGUGGGAACAUUGAAAUAAAGGUGUAAAUUUGUUGUUUGAUUUCAUUAUCAAGUAUCCCUACUAUAAAUAUGUUCUAAAUGAAAGUGACAAAGGAAAUUGUAUAUUACGAAGUUAAAAUGUUUAAUAAGCUGGACGCAAUUUCAAUAAUUUGGGAAAUACAUAUAGGCUUAUGUUUGGCGAAUAAAUAUACAUUCGUGAAUAUGACUUUUGACGAGCUUGAUUUGGUUAAUCAUUGAAGUAAAUAGUCUGGUGUGUGUUUCUUUAUUGAAGAAACAAGUCAAGGUUGAGUUUACACGAGUCCAGUUGAGUUUUCUUCACGACUCCUUUGAUCAUUUUAGAGCUUGAAGAUGUUAUAAUUGAAUGGAACAUGAUCACUUGCUUUCACAUUUGACGUGCUGCAGUUUCACGUAUUUAAUGUUUGGAGCAUGCAUACAGCAUACAGGAUAAGAAUUGUAGAUUUUAACCCAGCGAGAAAGUUAAGAGGAAAAGCAACUUUUAUUGAAAAAGUAACUGUUUAAUGAUCUCCUUCCUUACAGUCAUAAGUUCAAUUUAAUGAAGAAGUCAGUGAUAUCGUGACAAGCGUAAAAAUAUUAUGCUGAGAGGAGGCACAUCAAUCUGUCCGUGUCGUUCUUGUUUUAUAUUUCUGAGUAUUAAUAUGAGUUGUUGGGUCUUCUAAAGAUGUUGUUGAAGGGGAAGGACCAGAGGCUCAUGAAGGAGAUAUCGUCGAAAUUAAUUAUGUCUGCCGACGAUCAAAUGGAUAUUUUGUCCACAGGUACUGUUUUCAGUUUAUAUUCUGCUCCUCCAGAUAUUUGUUCGUCAGUAAAUCCAUGUCAUGCUUUCUUCUAUUUUGUGGAAUUGACAUUGAACUUCUUCAUUUUGCUUCAAUGUAGUACGGUGGACCAAUUCAGCGGAGAAAGUGCCCCUGUCAUACUUCCUCUGGAUGAUACACAGGUUACCAUUUUUGUUAUAGCUUCGGGCUAAAAAUAGAACAUCUUAAAGGUCAGACAGCAACCUUCUGAUAUCCAUUAUGUGGCAUGGCUGGAAGCUGUCAAGAAGUUAUAUUGCAUCUAUUUUUCUAUUAACUGCGUACAUCUUACCCUCCCCAGACCCCACUUGUGGGAAACAAGGGCGGAGCUAGCAUAGGAUUUGCGGGUUCGGCCGAACCCAGUAACUUUGGUGCAAACCCUGUAUUUAUCUUUAAAAAUCCAUUGAAUAUGUAUAAAUUGUUAAUUUAGAACCCAAUAACAUAAACGAACUAGAAUCUCGAACCCACAAGCUCCAAAUCCUGGCUCCGCCUCACUCCGCCUCUGGACUGGGAAAUUACUGGGUUUGUUGUUGUUGUUGUUGUUGUUGUCAUUUGUGCCUUCAAAAUGGGUGGUCAAAUAGAGCCACUUGGUUAAUCAAAUAGGUGUUAAGAGGUAACUUGUAGUCUGUAGACAAGGUUUCUUGAUGAGUUCAAAAAUAAUCUUUUUUCCUAUCUUCUUACAAUUUCUUAAAGACAUGCUAGAAAUGUCUUGGUACGUAUUGUCGAAGGUCACACAGAAGAAAAAAAGCGGAGAGACGAAAUGCAGAGAAACUUAGAAGUACGCUAAACUAGUAACAAAUUAACAAGAAGAAUAACCAUUGUUUAGGCAACGUAUUGUGCUGCCAGGACAAGCUGCUGUCUUGCUGAGCAACAACCUGUACUGUUUUAAUCUUUCAGAUAUAAAAUUUAUACUGCCGUCAACUGGUGAUGAUAAAGAUGUACUGCGCUCAAACGUUUCUAACGUUGACCAUGUCGUCCCUCCUAGCAUAGAACAUAGUAGCUGCAUUACCCCUUUCUUCUCCUUCACUUUCCCCUGCCAUCAAGACUGCUGAGGUUAAGGAUAUCUACGUUGUCUGUGUCUUCUCGCCAUCAUUAGUCAUAGCUGCAUUUCUCCCCUCUUCUUUCUAUAUGUCUAGUUUGGGAAGGGUUGGGGGAUAGUUGAUAAUUAACUGCAUUCUUGUUUUCUUUAUUGAAGGGGAGCCUUGGAGCAACGGUUAAGCUGUCUCCGUGUGACUUAUAGGUCACAGGUUCGAGCCGCGGAAGCCACUAAUGCUUGCAUUAGGGGUGCGGUCCUUCCUCGAACCCUGCGUGAAUGCGUGAUGCUUUGUGCACCGGGUUGCUCCUUUUUCUUGUUUUUCAUACUAAGUCUGUGAAUCUGCAGAUAAUUGAAGGUCUGAAGGAAGUCUUGAUUGGAAUGAAGCCUGGAGGUUGUGCCUACUCUUUAAGAAUUUAUUCACUUUUUGUUUGCAAAAUAUAUUCAAACCAUAGUAAAUGACAGGACCUCAGGGAAAACUUAUUGGCCAUUUUUUUUUUUAAUAUAAGUUCUAUUUGUUUGAGCUGUAAGGCCUGUACUGCAGGAAAAAGAAGAGCGCUGAUACCGCCUUCGGUAGGAUACAUCAAUGAAAACUUAAAACCAGUACCUGAAGAGGUAUGUGUUCUCAGAAAUUUAUUCAUUUAACAUCCUUUUGGUGCCCUUAUCCUACACUCUCCAACUAACUGAAUCUAUGAUUCUAUGUUCCUUUUCUGCUUUAUACAGUUAAACCUCUCUAUAACAAUGUCGUUUGUUCUGAAAUUUUUUGGCUGCUAUAGUGAAAUGUUGUUAUAGAGGACAUAUAUUAUAACAUAAUAUAAUAAUGGGUUCCGAGAAAAACUCGGUUUUUAUAGUGAAUGACUAUUAUAUAGGAAUGUUGUUAUAGAGAUAUCUGACUGUAGUUGAUGUUAUUGGUUCAUCAAACGGAUAUUUGUCGUGUUGCAGUUUGGGCCAAGGCGUAGCCUUAUGUCUCAUGUGAAGGAGCCUCUAAUUUUUGAAGUGCAGCUGUUGAAAGUUUUAUGAGUAUCAUACUUAUUGUCGGUGCUUAACUAUAGUACGUAAGUUUUUUAAUUGAUUAACUUCAUUACUUUGAUCUCUUGAACAGUGUACUGAAUUUUUGCCAAGAUAUGCUAAAAUUGUCAGCGCGGGAUGUUCCUAAACUGGUUAUAAUAUUGGUUUAAUUUCUAGUUUAAGGGAACUUAUUCUUUAGACAAAACUUCUACUUGGUUACUGUAAUGACUAGUACAUAUUGUUUAGUACCAUUAGUAGUAAUUUUAUCACUAGUGGGUUGAGCUAUUACAUAUGCGUGCAACCUUGAACGAUGGUGGGGCAAACCUACGUGAGGACGUUGAGUCCUUCUAAGGGGGUGUAUGUGACACCCAAGCGAAUCAAACACGACACGGGAUAGAUGUAGUUAUAUAAGUAGACUAGCCUUAGACUCUAGUGAUGCGUUUUAAAACCGUGCGGGUCUAGGUCCAAAGCGGACAAUAUCAUUAGUGGGUUGAACUAUUACAUAAAUUUCAAAUACGAGUUUAUUUAUGUGAGAGUAAUAGCACAUUCAGCAGAUGCAAAUGAGUGAGUGACCAUCUUUUUUUUAGAUGCAAUAACAUCUUCCUUGACUUCUUUUCAGUGAAUGAAUGACCAUCUUUUUGUUAGAUGCAAUAAUAUCAAAAUCAGUUUAUAUACACCUUAACUAAUUUUAUUGAACGAUCAAAUGGACUCGCACCGAGUAUUAUAUUAAAUUUGAACCUGAUAUCUCAUGUUGUUACUACUAUAAUUCUACAACCAGCCGCUCAACCAUCUUGGGACUAACUGGCUGCCUUACCGUAGUGGGCGUUUGGACAUAAGAAUUGUAAAAUUCCUAAAAAAAAAAGUGAUUUUUUUUUUUCAAAUAAAAAUGAUAUUUGAAAAUUAGAGUUGUGUUUGGACAUGAAUAUAAUUUUUGGGUUGUUUUUUAGUUUUUUGUGAGUGAUCAGAGUGAAAAUUUUGAAAAAUAGCUUUUUGAAGUUUUUCAAAUUUUCGAAAAAUUCCAAAAUUCAUCUUCAAGUGAAAACUGGAAAUUUUAUUGCGAAACAUUAAUUUUAAAAAAAAGUGAAAAAAUUCUUAUGUCCAAACGGGCUCCUAGUUUCCUAAAAAGAACUUUCCUUUUCAGCUAAUAGGACUUGCUAAUUCUUACUCCCUCCGUUCAACAUUCCCUUUUUGUUUGAAAACAUAUAGCAACUUUUUAAAUUUGGAAAUAAUUUAACUUAAAUUUUCUUUUUAGCUUUAAGGAGCUCACUCACUGAAAAGAAGUUAAAGGAAGGAAGCUGGUUCUCUAAUAGUCCUAUUGAAUGGGAGGGUGAAGGCUUUUUGAAAAGUCUAGUUUAUCUUGUAAAUGAAUUUCUUUUCUAUUUAGAGAGAAGGAGUUUUGAGUUCUUAGGAAGAGCAUGAGACAACUCACGUGCAGUUCAAAGAGCCUAAUAGAAUAAGUGAGGAUCACUCUGAAUCGUUAUUUUUUUUUUUUGCUAUAACUUUGCCGAGCCACCUAGCCUCUUGCAUUUUUCGAAUAAAGAAGAUGGUUAUAAGAUCAAAUUCGCUUUAAGAAGUAACUUUCAUCUUUAGUAAUUUACCAAGGUAUCAGAGAUAUAACUUUCUAGACACUUUUGAGAUCUCACUCUUUCAAGUCUAUGAGCCCGUUUGGCCAUGAAUUUUUUUACUUUUUUCAAAAUCAAUGUUUGGCCAUACAUUUUUUAAUUUUUAUUUGAAGAUGAAUUUUGGAAUUUUUCGAAAAUUUGAAAAACUCCAAAAAACUAUUUUUUAAUUUCACUCAGACCAUUCACAAAAAUUCAAAAAUAACCUAAAAUUAUAUUUGUAUCUAAAUACAACUCUAAUUUUUAAAUAAUAUUUUCGCUUGAAAAAAUAUUUCACUUUUUUCGGAAUUUUACAAUUCUUAUGUUCAAACGCCCACUAUAUUUGUGCAGGCAGAUUGAGGCUCCUCAAAUUUUGCAAAAUGCGAUAAAUAAAAUUAAAAAAGAAAUAAGGGGUGAAGUCACAAUUAAGAACGAGCUUACAACUUUACCAAAAUAGUAAGUCGAUCCCCGAGAUGUAAGAAUAACGAGGCCCACUUAUCAACAGACUCCAGCUAAAAGUGUUUCGGUUUCUGUGCCAUUUAUAAAUUUCUGUUGUUCAUUGUCUAAAGAAAGUUUUGACAAUUAAAUACAAGAAUAUAGAAAAUAUUAAAUAAUUGACAAAAGGUUACAAGAGCAGGAAUUAUCUGAACUAUAAUUUAAUAAACAUUUCCUUCUCCAAAAAUUUACUAAAACAAAGACAGUAAUUUAGGGGCUGAGCCACAAUAUUGUUACGGAUUCAGCGCAAUCUAGUAAUUUUUUUAUUAGACUCUUGCAUUUGUAUUAAAUGACUCUAAUAUGUAUAAAUAUUUAAUUUCGUACGUAAUAAUUGAAACGUGUUAUGAAUCGAUAAAUUUCAAAUUUUGACUUAGAGCUUUCUACAAAAAAAGCGAUGCAAGAACGUAUUCUUUUAUCUAAGCUUCUUCCCUGUGCAUUAGCUCCCCCCAUCGUAGAUGGUUCAGCCACGCCCGGUGCCACGAAAUGAUUGAGAACUACGUCGGGGUCGAAAUGAAUUUUGUUCUUUGUAUUCAAUAAGUAUUGCAUGACCGGAUAAUUCAAGGAAGGGCGGACUGCGGGGAGGAUCCUUUUAAGUAGAUGACUCGUCGGUCGGUCGGAGCGGAACUUCUUUGGGAAAAAGAACUUAAAUAAGUUUAUUGUUCUGAAGGAGUCGUCAUUUUACCUUUUAUAUUCUGUUUUCUCAUAAUUUUUUAGUGGCGAAUUUUAUCCAUUUAAUGUAAGUGGUAGUUUAGGGACAAAUCUACAAACAAAUGGUAAAACUUAAACUCGCUCCAAUUCCCAGGCACGUUGGAAUAUAGUUUUGAUUUAAUUUAAGAAAUAGAAUCUCAAGUUUAAAGGAUGUAAUUUGUAAAACUCAUUUUGUAAAUUGUAAAAAACUUAGAAAUUACUAUUUGAUUUAUAGUGCGUUAUAGUCUAAACAGUACUUCAAGAAAUUAACCCGAAUAUGGUUUAACGUUUACUCCGCCGGUCUUAUUUUAUGUGAAUAUAUUACUAUUUAGGAAUCAAAUAAUUUUUUAUUAUAUUUUCUCAAACUCUUUUUAAAUAUUUGAAUUAUUUAAUAUUAACUAAGUUGACAAGAGGGGUUGUUCUGAUGGUAAACAACCUCCAUUUCCAAUCACGAGGUUGUGAGUUCGAGUCUCCCAAGAGCAAGACGGGAAGUUCUUGGAGGGAAGGAUGUCGAGGGUCUAUUUGGAAACAGCCUCUCUACCCCAGGAUAGAGGAAAGGUCAAGUGGGAUUAUACUGAGUUGUUGUUGUUGUUGACUUACUUUUCAUGCAAUCCUCAAAUAUGUAAUGUUUUAUUUUAAAGCAAUAAAGAAUUUAUGUUCAAAUUAUCAUUAAAAAUUGUAAAUAUUUUGAUACUUUUACUAUGAACUACUUCAUAUAAAUUGGGACAAAGCGAUAAUUAUUGUUGAUGAGAAUAUUAAGUAAUAUCUUUCCAUCUAUUCAAAUUUAAAUAGAAAAAUAACACAAUAUUUAUACAAUUAGGACUAACAAAAGUCGCAUAAAAUUAAUCGAGAUAUACAUAAACUGACGGCAACAUAAGAAAAAGACUUUAGGAAAAGGAAAGUAAUUGGGUAAAAUUCACUCAAUUGUCGUUGGCUUAAAGUCCACAUCAGAAGGAGAGUGGACCCCACAUCCGAUUCGGUGCUGAGGUGUAACGGCUCACCUCUUAUCAUGAUUCCGUACAAUAUUUUUCUUUUAAUUUGUUUACUUAUUAUAAUAAGCUAUAUACUAUAAAGCAACGUAAAUAUUUAACUACUACAACAACUCAGUAUAAUCCUACUAAGUGGGGUCUGGGGACGGUAGUGUGUACGCAAACCUUAAAUAUAUAACUAUUUGUUAAAAAUCAUGUUAAAAAGUAUAAUAAAAGAAAAAUUGUUUACUUCAAAAUAACAAAAAAUUCAUAUAAAAUAAUAUCAUAUAAUUUAAAAAAACUGUGAAAACUGCUCAAGUUUCACUACUCAAAUAUAAAUUUUCCUUUUGACUACUUAAAUAUGAUAUUUCUUUUAUUAGUAACUAGUUUUUUCCUAAUUCAAUAAAUAUCAAAUAAAAUAUACUUACAUAUAUAUAUUUUUACGACUUAAUUAUGGUUAAUAAUCACCUCUAUUUUUUGUAUUCCCCUAGAAUUAACUUUUUUUAUAGGAUUUACCAUCAAAGGAGUGUUGUGGAUAGAUGAAAUUCUUUCGAUAUUAACUUGAAGUCUCGACUUUGAAUUUCGUAAAUUUGUGAUACGAACUGCUACCUAUUUUAAUGAUCUAUAUAUAGCAAAAAUUUGAAUUAGCGGGGCGAACACGCCAAAUGUUAAACAAAAACAAAAUGUACAAUAUUUAAUGGUGGAAUUAGGUUUGAGCUCUUAGAUCCUUGAUAAGAAGCUUUCAUUUAACGAGUUGGAAUUUGAAUUAAUCGAGUCACUAAUUUCGAAGUUAGAACAUCAUAUAAUUAAUUAAUUAAAAAAAGAUUUUUUUUUACCUGAUUUGGUGCAACCACAUAGCAUAAUUAGUAUCUAAUGACCAAAGAGGGUUGUGGUGGAGUAGCAAGUACUUCUUCAUCCCUAAUCGGAGGUCAUGGGUAUAGAGUCGCCUUUGUUAGUGAGCGUUUUACCCCAAUGUGGGACUUUCCGGUGCGAAUCCGAAUUUAGUCGGGCCCAACUACAGUGGUAAACCAAAAAACAAACAAACUAGUAUCUAGUGUAAACAGUGGCCUGUCACUGUAAUUUCACCAAAAAUAUCAACACAAUAAUACAGCAAACCGCUCCUUCUCUGAACUUUCCGCCCCUAUAAAUUCACUUGGGUCCGCAGCAAACUGCUUAAAAAUCAUAUAUUUUGAUACUGAAUAAGAUACUGUUCCUUAUUUUUUUUCUCUCAUUAUUCCAGUAAAAGAUCUUUAUUCUUUUUUAGCUGAAUCCAGCCAUAAAAAGGUAUAUUCCAGAAUCUGAUUCAUAUCUAUAUAUUUUGUAUUUAACUUUUGCACUCACAUUAACAUUUUUGCUUUAUUUGUUCUGUUCAGUUUGUGUUGGAGAUAUGGAUCUUGAUGUUGAUUAGUGAAUAUCUUUAAUCUGUUGAAGUAUGUGUUAAAGAUUUUGAUUUGAGAAAAAAAAUCCCCUUUUUUUUAUGAUAGAGUUAAGAUUUUUAGUGAAGUUAAGUACUUUAAUACAGUUUAGAAGGUAGAAUCUUUAUUGCUAUUAUUAAUUCUUCUGGUCCCCCCCCCCCCCACAACCCCACCCCGAGGGCCCUCAUUAGGGGUUAGGUGAUUUGGUUGUGGCAAAGAAGUGUUCUUUUUAGAUAUUUUUUUAGCUGCUGACAUGUGCUGAGUCAGUCUUUCAAUUUUCUGAGUGAUCAUUUGUACUCAAUUUGAGGAUGUUUGAACCGUGAUAAGGGUAGCCCAGUACACAAGGCAUCCUGCCUUUACGCAAGGUACGGGGAAGGGUCGCACCCCAAGAGGUGUCAUGUAGACAGUCUAACCUAAUGCAAGUGUUAACGGCUGCUUCUACGGCUCGAACCCGUGACCUAUAGGUCACAUGGAGACAACUUUACCGCUGCUCCAAGUCUCCCCUUCAGUAAAGAUACUACCUUCUAAACUCUAUUAAAGUACUUAAUUUCACUAAAAAUCUGAACUUUAUCAUAACGGUGGAGUAAUCGAUACAUAGUAAAUGGGAUUUUGAGAGAUUCUUUAGGGGAAAACUGAAGUAAGUCUUUAAGGGGGGAAAGAGUAGGGUGCAGAGUAUAAAGUUUUGAAAUACACAAGAGGAAAAGAUGAUUUUAUUCAUGAACAACAUGCUCUUUAUAUAGAGCAGAUACAAACUGAAAUACAUAAUAGUGGAACAAACCGAUGUGAUAAGAUUUUGUGCAGCAGAAUACACUAGAAUACAGGGAACUAACAAAAUCCUAAAACUAGAAAAUAGGAAGCUAAAAACAAACUACUAAACUGAAGGAUAACAAGUAUUAUCCUUUAAUACAGAGGUAACGAUAGAUGAGCUAAACUUCAUUUGACUAGAAUGUACAAUGCUUAUUAUCUGGACAUAUACUUUUGAUUUGUGAUUUUUCUCCAGCGAUCGACUACUAAAUUUUCACAUACCAAAUUUUCCUGGAGCUCCGUGAAUGUUAAUGCUUAUGCGUGCUCAUUAUCUCAAGGAAUCAUGAACUCUUUUCUAAAAUCAGUAACUAUGUAUUUUAUUCAUCCAAAGUGCACCAUGGAAGUGCUUGAAUAUGUACAAGCAAAAACCUCAGCAGUUCUAUAAUGUGGGAACUGACGUAUAAACAUCUGUAUCUAAGUCAAGGAAUUGUAAAUUAUGAACCUUGCUGUUUUUGACCUUUCAAAGGGAAAAAAAGGAAAAAGGAUUAUGUUGGACAAGAUCUCACAGAAGGCCAAUAUGUCUGUUAUUUUUCAUAGCAGCUAGUCAACUUAUGUAGGACUUGGCCGCAUGAAACGAUUCAGCAAAUUUUUAUCCUUAUGUUCAAUUUCAGUUAAAAAAUAUGCAGCUUAUCAAUUAUGCAGAUAUAUGCUCAAUGCAUAUGGCUACCUUUUCUCUUGCUCUGAAACACACGAGCAAAUAUUCUCUGUGUAUACGAGCAACAAAUACUAGUAAUAUAGAAUCUUGUCUGGCCACUUUCUUCUUAUACGCUUUUAUUCCAUCACGUGCUUGUUACGUAAAUGCAGAGCCUAUAAUCAAUCAAUGGGCUCAAAAGCAGUUGAAGAUUUGAUACAGGCAUCAUCAGGAGUUCAUUAUUCUGGAUUCCAUUUAGAAGAACCACAUACUUCAGAAGUUGAGCAACCAACAACUUCUAUUGAUGAAAGUGUUAAGCAACCCUUUGUCAUUGGUAUGUCGAGGCAGUAAUAUAUCUCUUGCUGUUACUUGAGCUUUUUCUCAACUAACUUUAGCUUCACUGCAAACGAUAGUUUUAGAUCGUGAAACUAAGACAGCUACUCAAUCUUUUCGGGACGGGUAUAUGAAGAACGGUUAAUUUCACUCAUCAUUCAAAUCAUUUUGGAUGGAUGUUAAUCGCCCUUGCAUUUUUGAUACUUAGUAAAGCUGUACAUUUAUAUAUAUGAUGACACUGGAUGAGAAAAUUAUGAUGUUGAAUUUGGUGAUGGAUGAGAAAUCAUUGUGCUUGCUUAAGAAUUGUUUAGAUAUAGGACCUAAAGUAAAUGUAUUAACAUGACUAAGAUAUGCUCCCAACUAAUUGGUGUCUCCUAAAUGGUUAGUGAGGAUUCAUAUAGCCGACACCGACUUGUUUUGGGAUUGAGGGGUGUGGUUUGACGUAGAAGUCCAGACCAAAACUUUAUCUGACUAAAGACUGGAUUUUUUUUGUGUGCUUGAUCCUGCUUUCUGCCUGCACCUCGGAAUGCAUUUGUCGUCUUUGUGGAGUUUUGUUCAGCAUUUGCUGGAAACGUAUUCCACGAGCUUUGCUUCUCUAAGUUUGUUGGUUGAUGCUUGUUCCUACAAUUAGCACAAGAUAGGGUAAUGAUGAGAGGAAAGACUUUACAGGUUCUCUAUGAGGUGUGCAUAUGUAUUGUUGGUCAAUAGAGCAGUUUGUGUGCUUUGAUGAGAAAAUAUCUCAGGGCUAUGGUUAAAGAUGGGAACGAAUCAUCGGGAUUUUAGUCAGUUCAUGUAAACUUGAGAACAGUACAGUGAUCUUAGUUUUCUACUUGAUGCAUGCUUAUAUAAGAUGUUUUACCUGCAGGAGUUGCUGGAGGUGCUGCAGCGGGCAAGACAACAGUUUGUGAUUUGAUUAUUGAUCAGCUUCACGAUCAGCGUGUUGUCCUAGUUAACCAGGUGGGUUUUCUUCAGAGUAGAAAAUGAAGCUUUUGUUUUUAUUUUUUUAUGUACGAGUCUAAAAAAACACCUUUCAUCACUUGAACAGACUGCAUAAUCUUUUCCUAUGCAGUUUUAACAGUGGAACUCUAUUUCUCUUAUCUCUUCCUAUUUAAUUGAUAAACGUUCACAAUUUGUUUAUAACAUCCACUUGACCUUUCUUCUUGAUGAGGUAUUGGAUAGCUGGGGUCCUACUCCGUAUUUUCCUAGGGCGGGUUAUCUCUAAUUUUCUUUCUAGUUUUGUAAAAAAUAUAUAUUAACCAAGCUAAAAUUAUAAAAUGUAAUUAUUCGUAAGCUCAGCAUCCAAUUCUUUUUGCUUAUGAUUUGGCAGUUUAUGGCUAUUCCAUGUACUAGUUCUAUCGCACCCCUGUCGUCUAUGACAAUAAAGUAUAACUUGAGGGAAUUUAACUUGCAUCUUAAGUUGUCUGUUUUCCACAACUUUUCGGUGCUCUUGCAUUAUAUUUGUCUUAAGUUUGGAAAAAAAAUGUAUAGCCUGCCAAAACACAAACACCUAUUUGUCUGACUUAUGUUUCAAUUGGCAGGAUUCUUUUUAUCACAAUUUGACACCAGAAGAACUCACAAAAGUUCAUGAGUACAACUUCGACCAUCCUGGUUAGUCUAGUUCUUUAUUAUCUGAAUUGAAUACACAGGUAAAAUUGUUUUAUCUCUUAGUUCCUCUGAGAAACAAAGAUAUCUUUUUCCAUGGUGAAUCAUUGCCAAACAUCCAUUUUAUCAUUCUAGCAGUUGACUGUAUACAAUUUGUAAUAGAUUGCCAGAAACUGCAAAGUUGAUUGUGGUUCAGCCAUUGAGGACUUAAAGUCCCUAAUCUUACUAGAAAUUCCUCAUAAACAGUUAGUAAUAGCUUCCAAAGAAAUGUUAACUCCAAAAAUCACUUAAUAAGGAUUUGAAAACCUAGUACUAGUUUUCACUUAUGUUGUGCGGACUCCCCUAAAAGUUGUCGCACCCAUGUCAGAUUCCUCUGAAAAUACAUUACUUUUGGAGGAUCUAACACGCACCCGGAGACAUUUUCGGAGAAAUCACUUAAUAAGAAUAUGUACUUAGUUUUAGAAAUAUUAAAAAGCUGUUCUAUUUUCUAGAAUAAUACGGUGGCUAAGUUUUACGCGUCUUUCUAAUUAUUGUGCUUUAUUCAGAUGCAUUUGACACUGAGUUAUUGUUGCGUGUGAUGGAGAAAUUGAAGCAUGGGCAAGCUGUAGAUAUUCCAAAAUAUGAUUUUAAGAGUUACAAAAAUGACGUAUUCCCCCUUCGAAGGGUAAUUUCUAUCUAGCAUGGCAUUUUCCUCUUCUUUUUUUUUCUUCUUUCAUUUCAGCUUGUAUUGUUACAUAGAGAUCAACCUAGUUUCUUUCCCUAUCUACGACCCAACCCCUCCUCAAAGGGAAAACAAGGAAGAAAAGGGGAAAGAUAACAUUCCAAUGAGAUGGAGCAUAGAUACACACGCUAUUGCCUGCGGCUAAUUUUAAUUUUGGGUGCCGAAUUAUCUAACAAGUGUCAUUAACCACUUUGACUUAAAAUACUUGGUAGGUCAAUCCUUCGGAUGUUAUAAUUUUGGAAGGUAUACUCAUAUUUCAUGAUCCUCGUGUCCGAGAUCUGAUGAGUAUGAAGAUAUUUGUAGAUACAGGUUCUUUCCUCUCCUUUCUUUGAUAUAUCUUUUUCGUAUAUUAGGUUAAUGCUUAUGCAUCUUGUUCUUUUCAGUUGUUUUAUCUAAAAACAUAACACCAAACUUGCACCCAAGGGUGUGGCCUAGUGGUCAAUGAAGCGGGUGAGAACCAUGAGGUCUCAAGUUCAAAUCCCAGCGGAGGCAAAAAAAAACUAGGUGAUUUCUUCUCAUCUAUCCAAGUCUUGGUGGAUAGAGUCACCUGGUACCUAUUGCUGGUGGGAGGUGGCAGGUACCCCGUGGAAUUAGUCGAGGUGCGCGCAAGCUGGCCUGGACGCUACAGUUAUCAAAAAAAAAUGUUAACACCAAACUUCAAAAACAAAUUGAAAUUUUUGGUCCUAGUCCUUUAUUUGCUUAGACCUCAUUUGGUCUCUAGAGAAGAAAAAAAGAAUCUAGAAAUAGGAAAUUAGGAAUACUACAAUGCUAUAUUGAAGUGGAUUAUUGAAGUUAUUUUACUUAUUUCUGCACAGCUUUUUGUUUUGCAACUAUUGUCAGUCUUCCUAACGUUUGAUAUGCUGAUUUAGUCUUAAUCACGAGGAUAAAACUUCUGCUUGUUGUUUCAUUCCAUGUCUACAGACAUCUAUUGUGAAUUCUCUACUUUUGUGGUUUCAUAAUUUAAAAUUUUCAGUGCAGAUGCUGAUGUACGGCUUGCAAGGAGAAUAAGACGUGAUACUGCUGAAAAGGGUAGAGAUAUCGCUACAGUACUUGAUCAGGUUACUUGAUCUUUAUAGCUUAUAUCAAGAAUUUGUGAGCUAACUGUGUUUGCAUUCUCAUAUGUACCUAGAGGAGUCUUCUCUUUUUCAUUUUUUGCUGUUUGGCAAAUCUUUUGUCAAGGUAUCAAAUUUUUUGUAUUUCCCAACUUCCAACAAAAUGCCCAUUGUUAAAACUGAUAGUUUCCCUUUCACGAAUAACGUAAUGUAAUCUUUGCGCAGUACUCCAAGUUUGUCAAAUCGGCUUUUGAUGACUUCAUUCUUCCAACAAAGAAGUAUGCUGACAUAAUAAUUCCCCGGGGUGGAGACAAUCAUGUUGCUAUCGAUUUGAUUGUGCAACAUAUCAGGACGAAACUUGGUCAACAUGAUCUUUGUAAAAUAUAUCCUAACUUAUACGUUAUUCAAUCUACUUUCCAGGUACCAUUUUCAUCUUGUUAUUAUAGAUAUGUUUUAGCACCGAUCUGUUUCAGUUUCAUCUUGCCAAUUAUCUGUGCCUCUUCAUCUUGAAGUCAUUUUUCCUUUUUUUUGAGAUCGACCUUUUAUUUCCCUCUAAGAUUAUUAUUUGUUUCAUUCAGAUACGUGGCAUGCAUACACUUAUCCGUGAUGCACAGACGACAAAGCAUGAUUUUGUGUUCUAUGCUGAUAGAUUGAUUCGAUUGGUAAGUUUUUCUUUCUUGCACGGCGAUCAAGUUAACAAGUUUUUCGACAAGUGAAAGAUUUCCCCUUAUCUAUCAAAGUUCUUCCUCACUGUACCAGGUUGUUGAACAUGGACUAGGCCAUCUGCCGUUUACAGAAAAACAGGUGAUCACUCCAACUGGUAAGCAGCUAUCCCCCAUAGUGCAAUAUUAGAUAUGAAUUUGAUUCUAAAUGUUCAUUUAUGUCAUUGUAUUUUAAUCAAUCUAGUUGUGGUUUCCACAGUAUGUGAGCUUAGGGGCGGACCUAGAGUAUUAGGUACGGGUUGGGACGAACACAAUAGCUUUUGCUUAAACCCUAUAUUUGUAUUAGGAAAUCCGUUAAAUAUGAACAAAUAUUUAAUUGUGAACCCAGUAACUAAGACGAGCGAUGGAACCUUCAAAUCCUGGCUCCGCCUCUAUGUGAGCUGAUAUGUUUUCCUGGUUCCGUAACAUUUAGAAGUGAUUGUUUUUAAUUUUUUGGAUUAUAUUGUUUCUUUUGGAUUCAUCGUAGCAUUGCAAUAGAGCUCUUUUGUUUUAUUUCAUGUAUAUCCUUUUUUCCUUAAUCAGUUUUACCUACCAUAACUCACUCAAGAGAGACUGAGUUACUAUUUUGAAAAAAUAAGCUAUCAGGAAAACUGUUGGCAUAUUUGAGAUGCUCUGGCCUCUAAGAAGUAAGCAGCAGCCGUGGUUUGAAAUAUCAAUCGGUACUGCAAAGUGUCAGAGGAAUCAUAAUUAGAAGGGACAAGGCCGAUUCAAUGACUCACAAUGUUUUUUACUUGUGUUGAAAAUGUUGUCACCCAUAUUAUGAGUGCUUCGCUACUGACAUGUCAAAAACUCAAAAUAAUCGCAUCCGAGCUACAUCAUAGGAGAUGCAUCGGAUACCAUGUGGAGUGUGGGCAAUAUUAAAUGAAAGCUUCUCUUGGGAUAAUUGAUGCUAUAUUUUGCCGCUUGAUAUUCCUUUUAUAGAGAGUCGAUAAUGAUACUUUGUCGUGAAUGUGAUUUAUCAUUUGAAAGACUAUUGACCAUAGCAGCUUAGCAAACACGUUUUCUUGGUGCAACGUUUAUUAGUAUCAACACCAUGGUAAUUUGUUACGUUUCAAUCCGUUAGUUUGGUAAAUUUUCAGCACUUGAUUAAUGUCUUCGAAUUUCAUAGUUGCUUAGCUACUUCAAUCCAUAUUAUCUAUGGUGGCGGCUUGGGUUUCAUGAAUUUACUUGGAUAAAAACUAGUCUCUUUCCAGUUUGGAUGUCUAGUUGAGAUGUAUUUACCUGUUAUCUUUUAGGUCAGCUAAAUGAUUGCAAACUGUGGUGAACUUCUUGCUUACCAAGACCCGCAUUGACUAUUAGCCAAUAUUGUCAUUUUUUGAAUCAAGAUUUUACUCAUGUUUAUUCUUGGACUUUGCUCUUCAUGAUAUCCCAAGUUAGCUCCUGUUUCGAUGAGCAUGAAAAGAUAUGCUUAAAUUAACCCACCUCUGUUGAGUGCAGGAUCUGUAUACAGCGGUGUAGAUUUUUGCAAGAGGUUAUGUGGUGUCUCUGUAAUUAGAAGGUAAUUAUUGUUCGUCACCCUUGAUUUCUUCAUAUAUGAGGUAAAAAUGCGGGAUGUUACCUUGAGAAGAUCAAGAUUAAUAAUGUUAAGAGUAAAUGUCACCUAAAAAGGUUUACAUCAAUGGGGGUUCCUUUUUCUUCUAGUGUGGGAAAUAGAUAAUCAAAAUUUAUUAGUUUGCUGUUUAGUCAAUAUUUAGAUUUGUUGUGUUAAUCUCGGAAAAAUCAAAAAUUAAAAUAUGUAUUGCUAAUAAGUCGAAGUAGAAUGUGAACCUGUUUAAUGUUGAAUGUAUAUGGGGGUUUACCUAAUCAUCAUCCUUGGUAUGUUGAAACAUUUUACUUUAAUUCAUUAGAAAUGUCCUUGCUUGCUUCUUUCUGCCUUCAGUAUAAGAUUUAGGGAUUGCUAUGUUCUCUUUACUUGCCAUAAGAAUUUCUAAUUUUGCACAGUGGAGAGAGUAUGGAGAAUGCGUUGCGUGCAUGCUGUAAGGGUAUCAAGAUAGGCAAGAUUCUUAUCCACAGAGAGGGUGACAAUGGUCAGCAGGUUAGCGAUUUGCUUGUCCUCCCGAAUCUUUAUAUUGGUAUUUGCUUUCUUUCUUUUUUUAAAGUUUGUAAUGCCUUUUUUCAUUUAUUGCAUGUAUAAUGAUGCAGCUGAUCUAUGAAAAACUACCAGAAGAUAUUGCAGAAAGGCAUGUCCUUUUGCUGGAUCCUAUCCUUGGCACAGGUUAGUCUAUUUUCAACAACGCCCUCGACAUCACGUGACUGACCAUGACUCUCAAUGCACACAAAAUGUAUAGAUGCACUACAUCAUGAAGAAUGUUGUAAAAUUUUCUUAAUGAGCGAAUGUGUAAGCUAAAGCCUAUAUGUGACAAUCUUCAGGGAAUUCAGCAGUUCAAGCUAUUUCUUUACUGCUAAAGAAGGGAGUCCCCGAGUCCAACAUUUUAUUCCUCAAUCUUAUUUCUGUAAGUUUACCAAUUCAUCCAUUUUUGGCAUUUGAUUAUCUUAGAAUCCACCUUUUUACAAAUGUUGCUAGCACGUAAACAUGUGGAGUUUCUAUUGCAAUAAAAUUCUGGAAUCAUAAUCUUUGAUGUUCUUAAACUAGGCACCCCAAGGAGUACAUGUGGUUUGUAAGCGUUUUCCAAGAAUAAAGAUCGUGACAUCUGAGAUAGAAAAUGGUUUGAACGAUGAUUUUCGUGUUAUUCCUGGAAUGGGCGAGUUUGGUGACAGGUAUUUUGGCACAGACAAUGACUAAACGUUAGACUGGUGGCCCGUCCCUCUCUAUCUCUCAAUCGCGCGAGAGAUAUAACCUUUUCUAUAUCAACCCAAUCAUAUUUUCUGAGGAUCAUUAAGAAGAAAAGGACUCAGUUGAGCAUGAUUAAACAAUAAUGUGUUAAGGUCUGGACAUUAUGAGAUUGUAUUUGACUACAGUUGCAUUAGAAAUGCGAUUUUCAAACUUUUUGUACAUUUGAGUAACACGAGUUUCCUUUAGGAGUUGUAAGAAAUGCAUUAAAAUGGGUUUGAUAUGAAUUACUAUAGUAUCUGGACAACAACAACAACAACAACAACCCAGUAUAAUCCCACAAGUGGGUUAUGGGGAGGGUAAUAUGUACGCAAACCUUACCCCUACCCCGAAGGGUAGAGAGGCUGUUUCCAGGAGACCCUCGGCUCAAAAAAGCAACAUGAGAUGAUAUAUUAGUACCAUAAAAAUGCACAAUAGAAUAACAGCACAUAUCUGGACAAUAUGUGCAUUUACUUUUUAAAUCUUGAAUACCCUAAGCGAAAUUCAUGAUUUCCUUGGUGUAACUAAUGUUGAACUUAUCUAACUAUUGACAAUUCGAGAUCUAUCCUGAUAAUGUGGAUGUUUCGACUUGGUAGUUUUUAUAAUUUUAAUAUCAAAUCUCUCAAGAUAUUUUUAUUUUUACGCACAAAAGAUAUGAAAAUAAAACAUUACAGGACCAUUUAGUUAUAUUCAAAUUAUGAAAGGUUGUAUACAAAUUUCUUUUCCUUUUUUGACCAAAAAUGAGCAUUGGCCAACUCCUUGAAAAAUCGAUUCUGCACAACUGAAAAGGAGAAAGAAAAAGAGCAACUAUGCAACGCAUUGAGAAAGAAGUGUAUCUAAUUGAAGGUGUGAACAAUUAUGUAACAGUAUAUAUAUUCUUUAGAGUACAAAAAUGAAAAAAUUUAAUUUGUGUUUCACAAGUUUGACGGAAUACCAAUUAUCUCCCACCAACGCAUUUAUCGGGUAAUUCUACCCACCAAAGUUUAGAUAGGUGCCAAAAAAUUACUUAGCGCUUUUACCUCUACUGGAUUUGAACUCAAAACCUCAUGGCUCUCAACCGACUUCAUUGACCACACUAGGCCAUACCUUGAGUGGUUAAGUAUAAAAUCUAAUUACGUAACUGAAUCUAUAUAUAUAUAUAUAUAAGAGGUAAUUGAAAAGAUGACUUAGCACCUCUCUUUGGCCAAGAAACUCAUUUAUCUUUUUUCUCCUUUUUUGGCUUUUCCCCUCCCUUAUAUUCCGUUGCUACAUCCUUUAAUAUGUGAUUAUGUUGAUAACUCCCAAGUCCUAAAUACUAUUUAAUGAGUGAUUUUAUGGCAUUCUUUUGUAUUCCCCGUAUAUGCCUAUAAGUUUACUAGGUACAUUAGAAAACCUAAAUCAUGAUUUAUUGGUAAAACUAUUGUCUAUUCAACAGUUAAUGGAGUUUGGUUUAGCUUAAACAAUAUAAUGGUACGGCCGUUACACAUGCACUAGCAAUUUAGUUGAAUUGUAACAUUGGUUUCCCAUUUUAAUGUGGAGGCUUAGUUUGAUGCUUUGUCCAAGGAAGAUGAUGAAUGCAUUCGUAUAUUCUAAGUUCUCAAUGGCAGACUCAAUUGCGGGGGGGGGGGGGGGGGGUGGAUGCACUUGUAUGACAUAGUGUCAAAUGACGGCAAAUUAAUAUGAGUUUCAUGAAUUCUGAUUGCAGAAUAUUUACCUAACAUGUCUCAAAUGUUAGGCAUUGUAUUUAUCUUAUCCUCCUUUUUUGGCCUUUUCCCUAUAUUUUCCUAUUUACGCUACUGUAAAAAAUAAAGUCUAAUAAUUUUUAUCUACUUUUUCUUAAGGAAGCAUGUUGUAUGUCCUAUUUUUUUCCUCUUUUAUUUAUUUACAGCUGAUCUUUAAAAUUGAAUCAAGUAAGUUAUGAUAAUAAUAUUUUCAAUAUAAAACAAUAUAUCUUCCAAUAUUUAGGUAAAUGACAAUGCAAAUUAUUAUUUAAUUUCUUAAUUAGUUGGAUAAAUUUUUUUUCUUAUAUCAAGAAACACUUCAUUAUGAGCUUUCAAUCCAAACACUUCAUGUGAACCAAUGAGGUUUUUGAGUCAUGACUACAAGUAUCAAGUGGUGAAAAAGAAUUACAUGCGACAAAUAUUUUUGUAAAAAUGAAAGAAUGCUUAUUGCUAUAAUAAGGAUAAUAACAGUUACAAGUGUAUUCUAAAAUUGAAGGUUUGUACAUAAUAAAAAACAACCAUGAGAAAGAGACUCUAGUAAAAGAUUUAUGUUUGUGAUAUAAAAUUAAUUUUAUACUCAUAUACAUUAUCUUUUUAAUUUCUUCUGUCUCAACUAAACUUGCAAAAAUUUAUUUUAUGUAUUCACUAUUCUCUUUCUUAGCAGCACAAUAAUUGUAAGUGUACGACAUAACAUUGAACGUUCUAAAUUCUAAUGAUAUGAACAUAAAAAGAACAACUAUGAGAAGAAAACUCUAAUGAAAGAUUUAUAAUAUGAUACAAAAUUAAUUUUAUAAUCAUAUAAAACAAAAUUAAUCUCUUCUAUCUCAACUAAACUUGCAAAAAAAAUAAUUUUUAUGGAUUCAUUUUUUUAACCGCGCGAAGCGCGGAUAUAUUCACUAGUAGCAGAUAAACUUGGAAAUAAGCUAAUUUAUUAGCAUGCAUUAUGUUUAAUAUAACGUUCAACCAACCACAGAACUUAAUAAAUCACUUUGAAUUCCAUUCCCUGCCAAAUUCAUCAUAGCAUGGCAAUCCAAGCAGGAAAAGCAAGGUUAAGUUUGUGUCCAACAAUAUAAUUUCAAAGACAAUUUUGAAUGAAAUAGUAAGCAGUCAUUGCUAAAAUCCAAAAAAUGUUGUGGGUACAUAAAUUAAGCCACAGAUCUUAAUUCUAUGACAGAAAAGAGAUGAUCAACCCCCAAAUAGAUAUCCGGCGGCUUGUUCUUCAUUGCCAUCGAAAAACUUCAGAGCUUGUAUUACUGCAUCCCUUCCAAACCCUAAUUCAACAAGCUUUGCAACUUUGGCUUCAAAUUCAGUUCCCUGCAGAAAAAAUAUUAAUAAAGUAGCACAAAGACCAUAAAUGAUCUGUUCUACUUAACAAUGACUGUAUUUAUUCAAAGGAACAACAAAUUUAUGCAAGCUGUCAAGGAGCAAAUUAAUCUCUAAUUUACCUGUGUCGAAUUCCCAGGGGCGCUUCCUGUGGACCAAGACAAGGUUGAACUAUAAGUAAAUGAAAUUCAAAAGAGAAAUAAAGAGAGCUGUAGAAACAACCAAAAGCAAAAUAGAAAGAAAAUUCAUGUCAUCUUGUUGACUCUUCCUAAAUCAUGUUAAGCAAAUUAAUGUAAGGAAUUUAAAUCCUUGGGUGUGGCGGAACAGUCCAGAUGACAGACAGUUGAAAUGGAAUUCACAAAUAUUAUUUGGAAAUUGAAGCUAACCGGAAGGACCUCCUUUUGCAGGACCAGUCGUCUCCUUUGCUCCAGAUGUUGCCUGUACAGCAAGAAAAAGAACCAAGUUUAGUACUGCUGCCUCGUCGAAAAACCACAAACACAAGGAAAAAGCACUGUUCCUAGAAGGUCCAAAUCCUGAUUUGAAUAUUUAGAGAAAAAUGAUAAUAUAACAGAUUAUUAAAGGGCUGCAUGACCUUAAAGAUUUAAAAAUUGUAGGAUAACAUAUUGCACAAUCUUUAGAGCAAACAGGCUCUAGCAACCCCAGGAAAACAUCAAACUUCCAUCAAGAAUGUCAUAAUUGUAAAAAGAAAGGCAAAUCCUAGGCAAUCAUUUCAUCUAAUUUCAGCAUCAACUUUAUCUAUUAUCUUGGAGAGUGCAUAUAACCAGAACUGCACUCAAAUUUGUAUAAUGUUAGCUCUUGACCUAUUUUGAAGCUAAAAUACGUCAAAUUUGUUGUUCAUUUAUUGCUCGCAUUAAACUAUAGGCAGCAAAAAGUAAAGUCCCACGUACCCACUUUCAGAGAAUGAAAAAGGAAAGAUAGAUAAUGUUGAGUCCGGAAAAAAUCAUUAUGUAAAAAAAAUGCCUUUACCUGGGUUCCUGAGCUCGAAGCCUCCUUGGCGAACCUCUCGUCAUCAAGAAAAUGACCAGGAAUGUCCUUCUCUGAAAUUUGAUGUAAACAAACUUAGUAAAAGCUCAAAGGUAGUACUAUCCAGUACAAAAGUAACCAGGAGGCAUCACCAACCAUGUAGAAAUGGUACAGCAACCUCCCCUCCACCAACUCUCAGAACAUUCUCCUUCAGAUCAAUCAUGCACUGCAAAAGAUCAUUACCGUCCGCUUAUAAAGGCGUGUUGAAAAGAAAAGAUAAGAACAGAAAAGAAAAAGAUGUUACAAGCAGGGAAAGAAAGUCAACCUGGUGUUUGCGAAGCAUGUCAAGUCCAAAGAGAAAUUCCAUAUUGGGAGAAUCCAGUACCACGAAAGAACAAGGGUAAAAUAUUUGCCCAAUCUGCCAUAGUUAAGAGUUUAGCAAAUUGAAGUGAAACAUGCUAACAGAGCAUUACCUUGGAACUUAUCAUCAAUCCAAAGGCAAGCAUAUCCAUGCAGCUUUUUAUUACUUCGACAGCUUUUCAUUUACUAAAAUGAAUGCAUAUGUGCCUGGUUGCACGACUUAAUCCUCAAGUAUUAUGGGUAGAACAAGUAAUUAUCACCAACUGAUUAGUGGGACAAGUCAUCAGACAGAUUGAUUUAAGCAAAUGGCAAAUAAGCUAAAAACUACUUACAGCUGACAGAUUAUUAGUAUUAUUUGACUAUUAUUUGUGGCUAUAAGUUGUGCAGAAAUGUUUGCAUGUAGCUUAUAUAAGUUUUAGACUGCUAGAUCUAUAGACAGGAUACUUAGCAUCAGUAAUCCAGAUCAUAAAAUUGGACAUUACUAAGAAAUAGCACAGUAGUACAGAAACUGAAAGAACAGAAUAUGGAAAGCAUUUGAUAGCAGCAGAAAUUUAAUCACUCUAUUUAAUUUUCCGGGCAGUGCAUGAGAAUAGAAAGAAUUCAUCAGUAGAACAGCAGCAUCUAUUGUAUACCGUCAAUGCACUUGAAGUACAGACACAAGAUUGCAAGAUAACACAUCAGCUCCAAGGAAGCAACAAACCUUGAUUGGAGCAACAUGAAUACGACCUAGUAUCUCUGAUUGACCAACUCCAUGAGCAAUGCCCUUAUAGCGUGUAUCUAAUAGCCUCAACAAUCUGCAAGAGAACGGGUCAGCAGAUAUAUUAACAAAUCUUCAGGGCUAGCCUAUUUCUGAAAGAAAAAAAUAAGCCAGCAACAAACACCUGUUACAUUUAUUACUACAUUAUUCUUACGGUAAAUAAAACCAAAAACCUGAAUAUCAAACUGAUUAAUGUAUUGCCCAUAAACUUUUACUUUUUGAUAACCGAGAAAUAACCAAGGGCCAACGGCAUACGGUUUGAAACUCGGUAAAUAAUGGGCCAACCCUUCUACCCUAAAAACUUAUUAGUUAUUCACUCAACCUCCUCAUCAAGCUAAUGAAUGCCUCCUGGGUGGUAUUAUAAAUUUUAAAGAUAGUUCUGAAAUCUUAUAAUAGACAACGGAUAUCAAAAAGUAACCCUAUAAUAGAGGCAUGGUUCAAAAUAUAAGAGAGAGCAGAUAGAAACGUUCAGAGCUAAAGACGAUCCGGAAUAGCCUUGAGGCACCAUAGCAUGUCGAUGAAAAGCAUGCAAUCUUAGUGUCAAACAGAUUACAGCAGGAGUUCAAGAUGCUGCAUUAGUUCUUUUGUGCUUCUACAGUUCAAAUUGAAUCCUUAAUUUGCCUAUUGUUUAUUCUUCUGUCCUUCUAGAAUACGAAUUUUUCAACAACAUACCUCAUUGAAAAAUUUCAUAAAUAAAAAGAACAAAAAUGAGAGAAACUCUUCUUAUAUCUCUGACUUUAUUUCUUUCAUUCUUUGAUAUGGUAAAAAUAUAUCUCUGACUAAAACUACUCAUCAAUUUCUACGUUUGCAAUAAUAAUUUUUUUUGAUAAAGAACGGUAUUAUGCGUGCUUUAAUAAUCAGUUGUGCUAAUAAAAUAAUAAAAGGAUCAAACAAGUUACUAUAAACAACACAGCACAGCCUCGUAAAUCAUACCCACAACGUUCUGCACAGCUUUUAGAUAUAAUUGUUGACUGAGCUCCACUAUCCACAAAAGCCUAAACCAAAGAGAAAGGUAAUAUCCCACUCAACCAAAAGUAACAAGAUGUACCAAGAAGAUGGAGCACAUCCAAAUAAAAAUCCCUACCUUUAGAGGAUGACCAUUUACUUCCAUGUCAACAUAUAACAUAACCUGAAAUAAGCCAUAAAAGUUAACUCGGCUUCGUUAAAACCACAGAGAAAAUCAAUAUUUGAAAGGCAUGAGGUAGUUUUACGUACCACCCUUGCAAAAGCUUCAGGAUUGUAUUCCAAUGCUGCUGCCCAGUUUUCUUCAAUUCCUUUCUGGAAAAUAUGCAAAACAUGGAAAAGCUCUAACACAAUUAGACCGAACUUCCAUUGCAUAUUGGAUAUUUUGCCAUUUUUUGGAAAAGACAUCGCAAUGAAAGAGAAAACUACUAUAAGGUAGAAGGAAAAAUAUUGGCAACAGAAUUUGCGAAGAGAGUAAGGACGAUCAAGGACAAGUUCCACAAACUCUAGCAGCCAAUCAAUCAAUUAGGUCCAAAUCCAAAUUAGUUGGGAUCGGCUAUGUGAAUCUUGGCUAUGUGAGUCCUCUAUGUAUAUAGAUCAAUCAAAUCAACUAUAAGUUCCACAGUCUUUGUCGUCAAAAAUGAACAAGCAAAAGCUACAGAUGAUUGCAAGAGACGCUAGUAGGAAAGGAUACAAUCCUCAUUUAAAUGAACGUCAUUUGUUCGUAUUCGAGUGUCUCAAUAUAAAAGCCACUUAACUUUGCCAAAUCGAUAUUAGAUCAAAUAAUAAAUGUCCUACUGAAGAAGUUAUUUCAGACAUUUGCCAAUAUAUUUAUCUAUUCCAAUGGUAAGUCUUGCUUAAAUUAAUGCGCUUUCAGAAAAAUACUGGAAAAAGAGCAAGAAUGACUGUUUAUGGUCCAUUCACGCGUAAAGAACCAUAUUGAAAUUAAAGAAUGUAACAAACGGAACGCUUGUGCUAAUAACUUGAAACAGUCUCCGGAACAUCAUCCGGUACACUUCUGCCAAUGUAAAUGUCGACAAAAGAAUACAAUAGAAAAGAAAAAUAAAAGAUAAUUAUAAUUGAAAACAAUAAAGAUGACAAGAUUUAUUAUGCCAACUAACCUGGCGAAUUGCUUCUUCUAUUUUCCUUUGUGCCUCGACAUCGAAUGGAUCAGCAUAAAGCAGUGCCUAUAAUUCAACAUAAUGUAGAUUAAUCAAUGAAUAUCAAUCAAUCUACUACUCCUCAAUCCCGAAUUAUCUGGGUCAGCUAUAUGAAUCCUCUUUAAUCAUUCCACUUAAUGCAUAUCAGAGUGGACACGUCCCACCAAAGGAAACAAAAUUUUCAGAUGUCUAUAAAAAAGUUAGAAUUAGAAACAUUUAGAUCAAAUGAUUGAGAAAUAUUGAGCUAUCCUGCCUAUUUCAUAUAUGCUAGGGGCAAAGGUUCAGACUUCAGAUAGCAAAAACAAAGUGUAAAGCCUGAUCACAUAACUUUGCAAGCUUUUGAAGGUGUUCUGCGAAGUUAUAUAGUACAUAUCAAAAUGGAUCAGAUAACUUUGCAGAACACCUUCAAAAGCCUCUGCCAAUUCCUUAAUGUCACAUUCUUAGUAGAUUUUACGAGAUAACCGUGACCUUGCCAUAAAAGAAAGCACACGAUCCUAAAUGGAGCAAACAAAAUAACUGUUCUCAAAAUGCGGCAUAAGGAGAUGUUACAUUCUGCUCUUCUUACAGCCAAUCACUAGCUUUCAGUUCCAAGACAUCAUUUAGCAAGUAGUUAUGAAACAAUCAACAUGGGACUCUCAAGAUUGUGGAUAACAACAACUACAUUAAAAUAUACAGAAAAAGAUAGCAAUUUAGCAAUAGAAGCUCCUGACCAUCUCCUCUUCUUGACGACGCCGUAGCUCUGAUUUGUGCUGAUGACGCAGACGCAGAAGGUCUUGCAGCUUAUUUAGGUCAUUACCGAGGACAGCUUGUGCUAACUCAGGAUCAUUCUGCAAGUUCAAACAUCAUAUACAGGCUCAUGGGACCUCUGUGCUAUAUUGCAAACCAGCCACAAAGUGGAGCGGACUAGAACAAAAUUAAUGGAUCACAUGUCCACAUCAGAAUAAUUAGAGGAAUCCAUCAGAAUGCAUAUGAAACUUUCCUCUCCAAAUCUAACUAAUCCCUCAUUGCGCACAUAAGAUCAUGAUGAAGUCAUAAUUACCAAUCAUUUAAAAAUCAGACCAGUCCAACAAAAUCGCAAAUAUGAGAAGAACCCACAAAAAAAUUAUGAAACUUCCUUUCAAAGUAUAACUAAUCCUUCAGCAUACCUAUAAGGUCGUGAUAAAGUCAUUAGUGGGGGAGGUGUGAAAUAAUAGAUCAAAUUGGAAAAUGGGUGCUUAUAGUUAAAAAAACCUUUGAGCAGGUCAUAUGAUGGAAACAACAAUGCUUUUGGAGAUUGAUUUUCUUAAAUUGUUUUACCAAAAGCAAAAAAAAAAAAAAGGAAAUGGCUAACUUGCUCCACCUGAAAAAGCUGGGCCAUCAAAUUGGAAUCAUUUCUCAAGUGUUGUUGGAAAGCUGAAGGAUUUACAGCAGAUCCAUCUUGCUUGAAGCUCAAGUCAUUUGCAGGUGCACUGAAAUGCAUUCUUAUUGUUAGCAGAAGAUGAAAGACGAGAUGUAUUUGCAGGAUAUGGCCGAGCAAAUGGGUAAAGGGUAACAACAUGGGACAAUAAACAGGCAAUAAAAUAACAAAACACGAACAAAAGCAAUAUGAGCCGAAAAUGCACCUAGACAAGGAUGUUGCACUAGAUACCAUCAUCACCAAAUCUCCAUCACCAACGCCAAGAGCGCUCAGUUUGUCAGAAUUCNNNNNNNNNUAUAUAUAUAUAUAUAUAUAUAUAUAUAUAUAUAUAUAUAUAUAUAUAUAUAUAUAUAAAGUGAUAAUUCAACCACAAUCGAUAUGUUACUCUUCCUUUUUAUUUUGAGUUACUAUACACCGACGGUGAAAAAAAAAUUACACAAUCAGGUUACUCAAUAUGCAAUUACAGGUACAUUGCUAGACAAACAUUAAUUGUAAUAUGGUAAUAGUGGUAACUAACCUGGGAUUAAAAUUACUGACUUUACACAGUCGGUGUACAUAAUUUAAAUCCUUUUAUAUUCUCUUAGUUCAUAUCUACCAAUUUUCCAAAUCGUUUCACACAAUUCCAUCAACUACAUUAUUGUAUAUAACUUUCACAACUUUGCAGAAUUCAAAUUCAUUUACUAAUCAAAAUUUGAACUUUAACAUAGUGUUUUCUCUAUCGAACUAACUUUCAACUGUUUAUUUAAGUUUUCUUCUAUUAUCACCGUAUAAACACACACACACACACAUAAUCACCGUGUCGUAUAAAAUUUUAAAAAAAAAUCCAACUAACCUCAACUUCCAGUAGAGCUUUCAGGUUCUCUACCUGGAGUACACACAAUAACAAACAUCUUCAGCAUUAAAAAAAACUUUAAGAUCCAAAUGUAUCAGCAAAACUUAGGGUUUUAGGCCUGCUAUUAAAAUUAUAUAUAAAAAAUGGAAAAGGAGACUAAUGAGAGUGAAUUAUACAGAUUCAUCACGAUCGACAUCGAGAGUGACGAUUUGUUCGUCAGUUGUCAUUACAGUGAUCUUCAUCUUCCACGAUUCCAGUUAGGAACAGAUGAACAGUUACUUGAAAGGACUUGGAUGUCAAUUCUCCGGCGCUGUUGUCGUUUCUUAUUGCCGAAGAAAUUUCGAACUCCGUUUUGUUAUUCCCAAUAUCCAGCUUUUCGCUGGAGGGAUGAAUUUGAAGGACUGCGUGUACGAUAGUCAAAACAGCUCAUAAGUUAUAAUCGCAUUCAGGAAAUACGAUUUAUAAGUCGCAGUUAAUAAAUGCAUAAGUCACAUUCACUAAUGGAGUCCGUAUUUUUUGAUAUGUG
This 32615-nucleotide long non-coding RNA is filed under the name Nicotiana tabacum (common tobacco). Its description in RNAcentral is "long non-coding RNA (NTAB_LNC016704)". The record is from RNAcentral. Lineage: Eukaryota; Viridiplantae; Streptophyta; Magnoliopsida; Solanales; Solanaceae.